GUUACUCCGCGCUUUUAGAAUGUUUGGGUUUGGCUGGGCGCGGUGGCUCACGCUUGUAAUCCCAUCACUUUGGGUAGGCCGAGGCGGGUGGAUCACUUGAGGUCAGGAGUUCAAGACCAACCUGGCCAACAUGGGAAACGCCGUCUCUACUAAAAACUACAAAAAUUAGUCGGGCGUGGUGGCGGUCACCUGUAAUCCCAGCUACUCUACUCCGGAGGCUGAGGCAGGACAAUCCUGUGAACCCAGGAGGCAGAGGCUGCAGUGAGCCAAGAUCAUGCCACUGCACUCCAGCCUGGGCGACAGGGCAAGACCCUCAGAAAAACAAAAACAAAGUUUGGGUUUGUUAAUCUACACAUUCAUUAUCAUUAAAAUAUAUAUUUAUAUAUUAUGCACUCAUUCUGACUCACCUACUUUCCCACAGAGAUGUGGCAAAAACGUUUUUGAUGCGGUCUCAUAAAUUGAGGACAUAAAGAAUUGAGUUAAGCUAAACCCAAAAACACAGCCAUUGCAAAGAAGGAACACGUUUCUUCUCUGGCCAGUCCGCAUCCUCAAGAGGCCCACCAGCAACGGUGUGGUCAGCAGCCCCAAGUCCGCUAGCAGGCCCGCCCUUCCAGUCAAGUCCCUGGCACAGUGGGAGGCCGAGUACACCGAGGCCAGGAAGCGGAUCCUGGGCAGCGCCAACCCGAGGAGAAGCAGGAGAAACCCAUCCUCGACAGGCCUUCCUCUGAUCUUCUUCCCUUCGGGCCAACCAGGAUCUCCUAACCCGAAGACAGCAGACAGCCCAAUAAUGUGAUCAGAC
Molecule: long non-coding RNA, 799 nt
Filed under: Pan troglodytes (chimpanzee)
Lineage: Eukaryota; Metazoa; Chordata; Mammalia; Primates; Hominidae
Description: long non-coding RNA NONPTRT003969
Source: RNAcentral